This 45-nucleotide non-coding RNA is filed under the name Trichobilharzia regenti. Lineage: Eukaryota; Metazoa; Platyhelminthes; Trematoda; Strigeidida; Schistosomatidae. The record is from RNAcentral.
AUCUAGCUGACGAGUCUCAUAUAGGACGAAAUGCACUUGCCGGAU